ACAGCGGAACUCCGGGUGCCGGUUGAGGUUGCUGGUGGACCUGCUCUGGUGGUCUUGGAUGAGGCCCCAAUGAGCGCGGCGCCCCUGGUGGGCUACAGCAGCAGCGGCUCCGAGGAUGAGUCCGAGGACGGGAUGCGGCCCAGGCCGGGGGAUGGGAGCCACCGUCGUGGCCAGAGCCCCCUUCCCAGGCAGAGAUUUCCAGUACCUGACAGUGUGCUGAACAUGUUCCCGGGCACCGAGGAGGGGCCUGAAGAUGACAGCACAAAACACGGGGGACGGGUGCGCACCUUCCCGCACGAGCGCGGCAACUGGGCCACCCACGUUUAUGUACCAUAUGAAGCCAAGGAGGAGUUCCUGGAUCUGCUUGAUGUGUUGCUGCCGCAUGCCCAGACAUAUGUCCCCCGGCUGGUAAGGAUGGAGGCGUUCCACCUCAGCCUGUCCCAGAGUGUGGUUCUGCGCCACCACUGGAUCCUCCCCUUCGUGCAGGCUCUGAAAGCCCGUAUGACCUCCUUCCAGAGGUGAGUGCUUCCCUCUGCCUCUCUGCUCCCUCCCCUCCACGGCUUCUCCUCCUCU
Molecule: small RNA, 573 nt
Filed under: Pongo abelii (Sumatran orangutan)
Lineage: Eukaryota; Metazoa; Chordata; Mammalia; Primates; Hominidae
Description: retained intron
Source: RNAcentral